UGAGUCUUGCAGUUACUUAACUGUGGAGUAAGAAAUAAGUUCAAAAAAUUUAAAAGAAGAAAUGUUUCCUGCUUCUGCACAUCAGCAGCUACUGCUUUACCCUUUGCACAUUGUUGGUUCAGUAUGGAAUGGCUGCUGGCAGGGGAAGGAGCGUGGAUGUGGAAGGUCUUGCAGAUAUGGCCUGCAAAGUAAGUAGGAGACCUGGAAGGUGGCAGGGGGAGGAAUCAAUGUGGUGGAGAGAGGAAGAUCCAAACUCCUGCAGCCUCUGUGCUCUGGUGUUCCACAUACACCUUACAAAAGGAAGCAGCUUGGAAUGCAAGAUAGAUUAUGGAUCAGCAGCCUUCAGUCUCCCAGGAAUUACAUGAACUUUCUUAUUUAUUGUUGGAGGUUACAAGAGGUUACCCCUGCGUAUUGGGGCUGUAAGAUUUCUCAAGAGCAAUACAAAGCAUUUCACACAGGGCUGAACAACUGAAGUGCCAAGUCUAUAAAAGGUCCUGAUCUAAACACAUUAAUUUGCAAAGACAAGUGAAGCAAGGUUACAUAUUUCUGGUGGAGACUUACAAGAGGAACAUCCCUUGUAACUAUUUAGAUUUUUCUACUCUAGGAGCAAAGGGAGAAGGUGAUGCUAAAGUCAAGGAGAUGCUAAAGUCAAUGUUGUCCUUUUCUGUAAGAAAACCCAGUGAAUUUUAAAACAGUUUUUUCUAGUGAAACAAAAACUGCUCUGAUUUUGAAAGCAACUUCAUUGUCCUGGAGCUGGAGUACAAUGAUUUGUAAGUUGAAACAGAACAUAACUUUUAGCUAUGUUUUAACUGACAUAACUUAUAAUCUUAUUAACAUGGUCUACAAAUGAGGUUACAAAUUAGUGUUUUCUAACUAUAACAGUGAAAUUCAAGUUGAACAAAAACACUUGCUGGAUAUUGGGCAUUUAUUUAUACAUUUUGCAUAUUGAAGUUACAUGACCCACUGGAUGAUGGUGAAAAUUUCUGGUUUUGCAGUAGGUUGGUAACAUGUUGCUCUCAUACGGAAUGAUGGAAGUGCAGCUCUGGUUUUCCUGGAACAGUUAUUAACAUGAGUGAAACUGUGCAUGCACAGGUUUGAGAAAAUGGACAGACUGUCAAAUCCAUUGAUCAAAUGUUCUGAGAGAUAAAAGUUGAAGACACUUUUCAAUGUAAUAAGACAACUGUUACUCUCCAAAUCAGUAGUGAAUGCUUAUUACUGCUCUGUUAGCCAGCUGAACAGAGAGGACUUUGCAAGUAUCCAAGACGGGAUGAUGAGAGAACAGAAAAAAGAAAAAAAAAAAUAUUAAAGCUUUGGCUGUGAUAACUCAUCCCCUUGGCACAGCACUACUCCAAGGCCAGACCUGGACACUUGUCCAGAGGAACUUGGUAUCCAAGGUACAUUUCUGUGCCUUGUUAUUGCACCAACCUGUGCCUGAUGUGGGCCACUCUGAUGAUUUAUACAAGUCCUUUAUAGUGCAUUAAUACAACAGGUGAGUGGAAACUUCCAUUAACUCCUCCUCCACAGAAGAGACCUUGAAAGAAAAAGGGGUUUGAAGCAGGGCUGUGCCAUGCUCUGACUCGGGUAUGGUAGUCAGGGGUGGGAGGCAGACUGCAGAAAGAAACAGAGCCUGAGUCACAGUGAAGCAACCAGCUCUGCACAGAAAAACACCCCUCUCUCGGCUCCACUCCUGGCAGAGCUGGUCUUUCAUCUGGUGAAAAAUGGGGAUGAAAUACCUCCCUUGCUACCCUUCGGAAAACACUUCAGUAUCCUCAAAGGGGAUUUAAAAGCAGCAUCAUUAUAAGUGGGAAAUGAAUUGCUCUCUUGCUGGAUUUAGCAGCUUCCUGUUUUGGAAACCCGAGAUACCAUCUCAAAUUUCUGUUUGUUGUCAGGCUGGAAGAAGAGACUCAGAGGCUGCAAAGCCUCUGGUGAGGCAGCGCUUCAUUUGCUAAUUGUCUCUGCCAGACAAUGCCAUUUACACUGGGCACAAAAUCACCUCUAACCUCCACUGACCAGAAAAUCGCUAUAUCCUUAACUCCCAUCCUUUUGAAACAGUACCCACUGUAGUACCACUGCAAACCCGGACUGCGUGUGCCAGCCCCUCUCACUGGACAACAAAAUACAGGGAUAAUUAUUGCUGAUUCAUUCACAAACAUCCUGGUUUCCAGACAUAAUUACAAUAUCAUAAGCAACUGCAUUAUAAAAGAAAGAUGUUUGACUUGUCACGCAUAAUGUCAUGAAGCGCUCGCUUUGAGGACCGAGCUCUUUGACAGGAACAGCACUGGCAUCUGCCCUAAGCACGCCCUGGAUGGGUCUGGGUCCUGUGCUCUCUGGCUGGGCUGGGGUCUCUGGUGCAGAGGACGGGCAGAACUGAGGUUCAGAGAGGUCUUUGCAGUCAGGAGGCUGCUUGACAUCUGCUCUUACUCUCCCAGACUGAAUUUUCACACGUUUCUGUCAGAAAAGCUGGUGAAGCUGGGCUUUGCCUCUGUGAGAGCUCCUCAGUAUGGAAAAGAUCUCCUACAAAUUACAGUCUUUAUUGCUCUUUUGCUUUUUUAGGCCAUGUUGCAAUGCUUGCCACUUUUGCUGUAUAAAAUUCAGGUGUUCUGCCUACCUGCUUCUCCUCCUCCAUUAGCCAGAUGAUCACAGCAGCUACAUCAGUUCUAAAUGGGAUCAGACCUGAAAGCUGCAGCUCUGACACUCAGGACAAUGACCUGCAAGGGUUUUUUCCUCCAUUGUUUAACACUUGCUUAAGUUGGAGCACUGAGAAAGCCCUUGAAUUUUGCCCUUCAGCUGGUGGAUCUGCGGGGAUGUUUUGGCUGUGAGAUGUUGCUCUUUGUUUUGGAGACAAGGCAGCACAGGAAACUGGCUUGACAGCCACAGCUCACUUAAAUGCCCUCGUGGCUGCUCAUGGCAACGCAAUAAGCCAGUGUUGCCCAAGUCUAUUUUCUCUAACACCAGUCUUUAAAGAGCAGGAGGUUAUUUUUCCUUUGUUGCAAAGGCUGGUUCAGGCACGUCUGACUGGGAUGUGACAUUUCCUGAGGGAUGUGGUUAAAGACAAAGUAAACGCUGGUGCUUUGGUGACUCCACAAAAAUCUGAUCGCCUGAGACUGCCAUGGAUGAGAGCAUCUGGGAAGCAGCAAUGCUUCUCAUCUCUUCCCUUGGGAAGUUAAUGGGACUGCUAAAUAUCAGGAACUGCUAAAUAUCUGGACCUCACAUGAAGCAGGAAUAUAUUACAUGUAUUUGAACAUUCUGGUGCAGAAAGAAGUGGAGGUAUGAAUCAAUUAUUAAAAAUUAGAUAAAAUAUAUAAUAAAUUAUUAAAAUUUAUUAAAUUAUUCUUUAAUGACCUUUCAGGAGUAUUGUGUCAGAAUUAUCACUGAAAUGCAAGGGAAGAAGUGAUUCUUUACUAAAGGUGGAGCUCCCAAACCAACUGGAGUGCCUCCUAGCAAAAAUGAGGGUCAAAAAGGCUUAUUUUCUACCCAUUUAAACAGAAAGGGAGUAUUAAAAGUCUGUGUGAUACAGAGAGGGUACCAGGCAAUGUACCAGCAUUAGGUACCAGCAAAGAUGAGUGGUCUCCUCAGAGGAAUCUUGCACAAUGAAAUUCUCCAGCUUUUGCUGGGGCUCAGUUGCCGGCCUCCAGUUAAGCUCCUGCUUGAGAGGGGACAUGGAAGCCUUCCCCAUCCCUCCCUCCCUCCCUGCCCCACACGAGUGUUUUGUCCCUCUCUGUAUCAAGAGAAAGAUGGGGAAAAAGCUAGAGCCAGUCUUUUAUUCACUUCAAUUUUCAAUUUUUAAGAUUCUAUGAGCGGCUGAAGGACUUAAAUCUGUUAUUGCCACAGAGGAAUCUUGUUCUGCCUGAUUCAUGCUGAGUACACUCAUAAACCAAAGCAGCCACAUUGAUGAAGAAAUGUUCUUCAAAAACCUCCUUAAUCUCAUUUCAGUAUGAAACUAAGGGAUGGACUUUUUAAGCAGGUCCUCUUGAAACCAGCCCAAAAGAUUAAUGUGUAAAUGCACAGAUGCUCUGGAAGCUCUUCAAUGGAGACAUUUUAUUUCCAAAUAACCACAGCAGUAACUGCUCAUAACAAAAAAGAUGAUUAAUGUCAUUGUGGCCAAAGUAAUGUAAGUCCCUAAACUUGACAGCAUAGUAUUUGCAUAUUACCUCGAUGUCAGAGUUUCUCACACUACCUUUAUUUAUUUUUACUGGAUGAAGCACAAGAAAAGCAUGAUGCUUGCUUAAAUCUCCACAAAUCCAAACAUCUGAAGCUACAUUGCUCCAUUUUCCUGGCUCUGUUCCUCUCUGAAGGCACACUGCUUGCAUGCUCACUCUCGUUUUUCCCAUGAACUACAGGGUGCAGGCCAAAAUACCCUUUGCAACUGGUAACUCCUAGGCACACUGGGUUCCAGUUAAUAUAACAACUGGACAUUUCAUAAUGCUUGAAGCAUCUGUGGCAUGAAUAAAAUCAGCAGGAAAUAUAAGGAGCAUUUUUUGUUUUCCACUGGGUCAAUUUUAUUAAAUUCGGUGGAAAUAUCAUACAAUGACAAAAGAAGUUAAUUUACAUGGAAAACUGAUCCUGACACCCGUGACAACAGCAUCAGAGUGGCAUACAGGAUGUGCUUGGAUGUGCAAAGGCUGAGCAGCCCUCUGUGCACUGGCUCAGCGAGGUUCUUGUG
Long non-coding RNA from Passer domesticus (house sparrow), 4663 nucleotides. RefSeq lists it as uncharacterized. NCBI's taxonomy places the organism in Eukaryota, Metazoa, Chordata, Aves, Passeriformes, Passeridae. The record is from RefSeq and is a predicted model, not a curated record. The transcript is spliced from 2 exons.